UACGGGGGGGGUAAGCGUUGUUCGGAAUUACUGGGCGUAAAGGGCUCGUAGGCGGCCAACUAAGUCAUACGUGAAAUCCCUCAGCUUAACUGGGGAACUGCGUGUGAUACUGGAUGGCUUGGAUUUGGGAGAGGGAUGCGGAAUUCCAGGUGUAGAGGUGAAAUUCGUAGAUAUUCGGAAGAACACCAGUGGCGAAGGCGGCUCACUGGUCCGGUACUGACGCUGAGGUGCGAAAGCGUGGGGAGCAAACAGG
RNAcentral lists this ribosomal RNA (253 nucleotides) under uncultured bacterium. RNAcentral describes it as "partial 16S ribosomal RNA". It matches the Rfam family "Bacterial small subunit ribosomal RNA", at positions 524 to 776 of the family's 1533-position model. The record is from RNAcentral.